Molecule: ribosomal RNA, 1076 nt
Filed under: Companilactobacillus nodensis DSM 19682 = JCM 14932 = NBRC 107160
Lineage: Bacteria; Bacillati; Bacillota; Bacilli; Lactobacillales; Lactobacillaceae
Description: bacterial LSU rRNA
Rfam family: Bacterial large subunit ribosomal RNA
Source: RNAcentral
GGGCUGACGCCUGCCCGGUGCUGGAAGGUUAAGAGGAUCAGUUAGCGUAAGCGAAGCUGAGAAUUGAAGCCCCAGUAAACGGCGGCCGUAACUAUAACGGUCCUAAGGUAGCGAAAUUCCUUGUCGGGUAAGUUCCGACCCGCACGAAAGGCGUAAUGAUUUGGGCACUGUCUCAACGAGAGACUCGGUGAAAUUAUAAUACCCGUGAAGAUGCGGGUUACCCGCGACAGGACGGAAAGACCCCAUGGAGCUUUACUGUAGCUUGAUAUUGAGUUUUUGUGUGACAUGUACAGGAUAGGUAGGAGCCGUUGAAAUCGGAACGCUAGUUUCGAUUGAGGCAUUGGUGGGAUACUACCCUUGUUAUAUGAAAACUCUAACCUACACCAUUUAGCGUGGUGAGGGACAGUGUCUGGUGGGCAGUUUGACUGGGGCGGUCGCCUCCUAAAAUGUAACGGAGGCGCUCAAAGGUUCUCUCAGAAUGGUUGGAAAUCAUUCAUAGAGUGUAAAGGCACAAGAGAGCUUGACUGCGAGACUGACAAGUCGAGCAGGGACGAAAGUCGGACUUAGUGAUCCGGUGGUACCAUAUGGAAGGGCCAUCGCUCAACGGAUAAAAGCUACCCUGGGGAUAACAGGCUUAUCUCCCCCAAGAGUUCACAUCGACGGGAGGUUUGGCACCUCGAUGUCGGCUCAUCGCAUCCUGGGGCUGUAGUCGGUCCCAAGGGUUGGGCUGUUCGCCCAUUAAAGCGGUACGCGAGCUGGGUUCAGAACGUCGUGAGACAGUUCGGUCCCUAUCCGUCGCGGGCGUAGGAAAUUUGAGAGGAGCUGUCCUUAGUACGAGAGGACCGGGAUGGACAUACCUCUGGUGUACCAGUUGUGCCGCCAGGCGCAUCGCUGGGUAGCUACGUAUGGAAGGGAUAAACGCUGAAAGCAUCUAAGUGUGAAGCCCCCCUCGAGAUGAGAUUUCCCAUUCCUUUAUGGAAGUAAGAUCCGUUAGAGAUUAUGACGUAGAUAGGCUGCGGGUGGAAGUGUAGCGAUACAUGGAGCUGAGCAGUACUAAUAGAUCGAGGACUUAACCG